AGAGUUUGAUCCUGGCUCAGGACGAACGCUGGCGGCGUGCCUAACACAUGCAAGUCGAGCGAGUGAAUCUCCUUCGGGAGUGAAGCUAGCGGCGGACGGGUGAGUAACACGUGGGCAACCUGCCUCAUAGAGGGGAAUAGCCUUUCGAAAGGAAGAUUAAUACCGCAUAAGAUUGUAGCUUCGCAUGAAGUAGCAAUUAAAGGAGCAAUCCGCUAUGAGAUGGGCCCGCGGCGCAUUAGCUAGUUGGUGAGGUAACGGCUCACCAAGGCGACGAUGCGUAGCCGACCUGAGAGGGGGAUCGGCCACAUUGGGACUGAGACACGGCCCAGACUCCUACGGGAGGCAGCAGUGGGGAAUAUUGCACAAUGGGGGAAACCCUGAUGCAGCAACGCCGCGUGAGUGGUGACGGCCUUCGGGUUGUAAAGCUCUGUCUUCAGGGACGAUAAUGACGGUACCUGAGGAGGAAGCCACGGCUAACUACGUGCCAGCCGCCGCGGUAAUAC
Molecule: ribosomal RNA, 503 nt
Filed under: uncultured bacterium
Lineage: Bacteria
Description: bacterial SSU rRNA
Rfam family: Bacterial small subunit ribosomal RNA
Source: RNAcentral